Rhinopithecus roxellana (golden snub-nosed monkey) is the source of this 793-nucleotide long non-coding RNA. RefSeq lists it as uncharacterized. The transcript is spliced from 4 exons. Lineage: Eukaryota; Metazoa; Chordata; Mammalia; Primates; Cercopithecidae. The record is from RefSeq and is a predicted model, not a curated record.
AAAAUGAGUAGAAAGUCCCUUAAGACAUGGGGAGAGCAUCACAUUCCUCCAAGGGGAAGGAAGAGAGAGCUGCUGGGAAUAGAAAGCAGUGCGACAACAGCUGAGAGAGAAGGACAAAGCGAGGCUCCAGCCCUCAGAACUUAGGCUCCAUUCCCUCCAGACCCUCUCCCUGCAGCUGCCUUGUUACUAUUUUUUUCAAUUCAGCCUCAACUUUGCAGACUUACUAAGCUGUUUGUUUAAAAGACAUUCACACUCAUGAUCACAGUAAGAGAAAAUGGACAAUCUCUGGUAGAUGUCCAGGCUAGAGGAGGAUACAGCAACAUGUGUCAAAAACUUUUGAAAGUACAUCAUAUUUGACUGAGCAAUUCUGCCUCCAGGAUUCUGAUGAAAGGAAAUAACCAGCGACCCCACAGGUCUGGAGGUCAAUGUGGGAGUGCGUUCCAGCUCUGCACCCAGGGAAAAGCCACUGAAGAGCACAGACCACGCCAACUCCCCAACCUGUGCCUCUUGAACCGCUCCAGGUGGUGAUCCCAAAAGCACUCCCAUAUACACAUCUAGCACCUUAAAAAUCCAUCAGUGUCUGCUUCUUAAGGAUCCCAACUUGAAAAAGUUUAGGAGUGGCCCCAGAAAGCAGAGGCUAAGAUCAGCUCUUGGAGUUGUAUUACCCACCAACCCAGUUGGAAGAAGUAUACCAUCACUGGAGCUAGCUGGAUCACAGAUAAUGCUGGCGCAAGAAACUGGAUCUCAUUCUGUCAUCCAGCCUGGAAGGCAGUGGCAGCCUCGACCUCCUGGG